AAAAUGCACUUUGAUGAACUCUGUCUCAUGACCCUUCUUCCUUGGACAGACUGCUGCUCUAGAGAAAGAGAGAAAGCACAGGCAGGGGGAGUAGCAGGCUCCCCGCUGAGCAGGGAUCCCAAUGUGUGACUAGAUCCCAGGACCCUGAGACCAUGACCCGAACCAAAUGCAGAUGCCCAACUGACUGAGCCACCC
Molecule: long non-coding RNA, 195 nt
Filed under: Mustela putorius furo (domestic ferret)
Lineage: Eukaryota; Metazoa; Chordata; Mammalia; Carnivora; Mustelidae
Description: lncRNA (ENSMPUG00000030280.1)
Source: RNAcentral